Molecule: unclassified non-coding RNA, 266 nt
Filed under: Imleria pallida
Lineage: Eukaryota; Fungi; Basidiomycota; Agaricomycetes; Boletales; Boletaceae
Description: Boletus pallidus partial internal transcribed spacer region
Rfam family: Eukaryotic small subunit ribosomal RNA (bases 1-46)
Source: RNAcentral
AAGUCGUAACAAGGUUUCCGUAGGUGAACCUGCGGAAGGAUCAUUAUCGAAUUCAGGAAAGACUGUUGCUGGCAGAAAUGCAUGUGCACGUCCUACCUUGCCCCUUUACACACCUGUGCACCUUUUGUAGGUCCUCGGAAAGAGGAUCUAUGUUUUACUAUCAUCACAUCCAAUGUAUGUCUAGAAUGUGAAUCAACUAUCGAUCUUCACGGGUCGAUAAAUGAUAAAUAAAUAUACAACUUUCAGCAACGGAUCUCUUGGCUCUC